RNAcentral lists this ribosomal RNA (454 nucleotides) under Cladosporium oxysporum. Its description in RNAcentral is "eukaryotic LSU rRNA". The stretch from base 115 to 268 matches the Rfam family "5.8S ribosomal RNA". The record is from RNAcentral. Lineage: Eukaryota; Fungi; Ascomycota; Dothideomycetes; Cladosporiales; Cladosporiaceae.
GUUGUCCGACUCUGUUGCCUCCGGGGCGACCCUGCCUUCGGGCGGGGGCUCCGGGUGGACACUUCAAACUCUUGCGUAACUUUGCAGUCUGAGUAAACUUAAUUAAUAAAUUAAAACUUUUAACAACGGAUCUCUUGGUUCUGGCAUCGAUGAAGAACGCAGCGAAAUGCGAUAAGUAAUGUGAAUUGCAGAAUUCAGUGAAUCAUCGAAUCUUUGAACGCACAUUGCGCCCCCUGGUAUUCCGGGGGGCAUGCCUGUUCGAGCGUCAUUUCACCACUCAAGCCUCGCUUGGUAUUGGGCAACGCGGUCCGCCGCGUGCCUCAAAUCGACCGGCUGGGUCUUCUGUCCCCUAAGCGUUGUGGAAACUAUUCGCUAAAGGGUGCUCGGGAGGCUACGCCGUAAAACAAACCCAUUUCUAAGGUUGACCUCGGAUCAGGUAGGGAUACCCGCUGAA